This 85-nucleotide transfer RNA is filed under the name Felis catus (domestic cat). It matches the Rfam family "tRNA". Rfam says of the family: Transfer RNA (tRNA) molecules are approximately 80 nucleotides in length. Their secondary structure includes four short double-helical elements and three loops (D, anti-codon, and T loops). The record is from Rfam by way of RNAcentral. Lineage: Eukaryota; Metazoa; Chordata; Mammalia; Carnivora; Felidae.
GGUGGGGGGGCUCAGUCGGUUGAGCGUCUGACUUCGGCUCAGGUCGUGAUCUCGCGGUUCGUGGGUUCGAGCCCCGCCUCCGGUU